Molecule: long non-coding RNA, 1216 nt
Filed under: Pogona vitticeps (central bearded dragon)
Lineage: Eukaryota; Metazoa; Chordata; Lepidosauria; Squamata; Agamidae
Description: lncRNA (ENSPVIG00000020897.1)
Source: RNAcentral
AUGUAUUCGCGAAGGCUUUCACAGCCAGGAUCUAAUGGUUGUUGUGGGUUUUUCGGGCUCUUUGGCUGUGUUCUGAAGGUUGUUCUUCCUGACAUUUCGCCAGUCUCUGUGGCCGGCAUCUUCAGAGGACUGGACAGAGACUGGCGAAAUGUCAGGAAGAACAAGCUUCAGAACACGGCCAAAGAGCCUGAAAAACCCACAACAACCAUUGAAAAACUAUUGAUUGCAAUGAGCCUUCAUGUGUUUAGUUCAGUACUGGACUACACUAUGUAUCUACAUAAAAAUUUAGAUGAGCUCAAGAAUCAUACUGUCUCCCCUGGGAAGCAAGAACUAUAUUUGUGUAAGGGAACACACAUUCACACAAAGGACAAAGGGGGAAGAGACAGACCUGUAUCACUGCAUUAUUCAGUACCCAUUAACUGUUACUUGGGAAGCUGUGGUCCAAUUUACAGUCAAAAUGGAAAAGAAAUGACCAUAUCUGUUACGCUUAAACAAACAAACAAACAAGGAAACAUGCACGCACACACCCUUUUUAAAGGGUUUCAAUCCUGGGGCAUGUGAACCAGUAGAUCUGGGAGCGCUCUGUUUACUUACUGCAUUCCUAGGACAGAGGAAAUGGUUUGCAGUGUCCAUUCCCAAGAGAGGCACAGUCACGUCAGUAGGUCCAUCAGAGGAGACUGCUUGCUUUUUUGCCGGCAACAUCUAUCUGUUGCCAAGGGCUGAGUAGGGAAUGCAAAAAGGAAGUCCCCAAAGUGAUAUUUCAAAGGUCAGAGCAACCACGAUAAAAACCCAUAGCUGUACAGUUUCCUCCAUGUAUAAAGAUAAAGUAAAGGUCAGGAAGACCACCAGUGGUUAUUUCCAACAAAUAGGAGGGCAGUUCUGCAUUACUCAUGCUGGUUUCUUUCCCACAAAGCCAGCAACCAUGGGAGUUAAAGAGCAGGAUGGCACCAACUGCCUUGGCUUUGAACACAGGAUGGCAAGUCCCGCACACAACAUGCACAUGCAACCUGUACAUGUGUGGGAUCUCUUUUGGUUACUGGGAACCCGCAUAGAAAAGAAAAUGGUGAUCAGGCUGUGCAUAUACAAUUCAUAGUUAUUGAGGCGCUCUCUUUUCGGAUCCUACCAAUACCCUAUAUUCUAAAGCAAGGAUGCAGCCUUCUAGAUUGUGUUGGACUGCAACCUCAGCAGUCCUCUGUUGGCUGAGACUGACAGGGGU